GCGUGGGCCUGAUCGGCGGAGUCAGCGGAUGGUUGAUCGCGAGGAAAACGGGAGGGAUCAAAGAUCCACCGCAAUCCAAACUCGAUACCAGCAUCAAUUCCGGAAGAACAAGCCCCUUGGACACAGAGACCGUGAACGCAUCGCAAAACUACGAAAACUUCCCAAGGAAUGAACAGG
Long non-coding RNA from Hypanus sabinus (Atlantic stingray), 177 nucleotides. RefSeq lists it as uncharacterized. The record is from RefSeq and is a predicted model, not a curated record. The transcript has 3 exons. Lineage: Eukaryota; Metazoa; Chordata; Chondrichthyes; Myliobatiformes; Dasyatidae.